UUAUAACAAUUUUUUCUACGAUACAACAUUUUCGUUUAUUUAUCUGCAUGUACAGACGACUGAAAACAGACUCCGUAAGUGACGGCUAAUUAACUGCCGGCCAAGUCAGCUUAGCCUCCGUUUAAGCAAAACAGUUCAGUUGGAGUACAAAAUCGAAACUGGAGCAGUAAGGUUGAUACAAAUCUGUCAGUCUUUUCAAGACAUUCUCUAUCAGUCUGAUACAUUCAGGGAGAUACAUAAUCACAAUAAACAGAAUUGGUUCAAGUCGAAUCCCGUGUCAAACUGAUCUCGUUCUAAAUUUUGUUGUUUUGUGCGUGACGAAGCUAAUGGGCGGCUGGAUGCCUGCAUGCCGGGUGUAUUUUCACUCACCAAAAGAAGAUUGUCCCACCAGCAUCGUCUGACCAAACAGACGCCGCCUGCAAUUCAUCGGCGCUUCUCGCUCUCGGAUGAAAUGAUGAAAUGUGAUCUUAUAGUCUGUGUGACUUUUUUCUCCAACGAUGGGUUAUGCUGUGUUUCGGCUGGCGGGUAUUCCGCGUCCGAUGGAUC
This 546-nucleotide long non-coding RNA is filed under the name Hordeum vulgare. Its description in RNAcentral is "long non-coding RNA (HVUL_LNC011330)". The record is from RNAcentral. Lineage: Eukaryota; Viridiplantae; Streptophyta; Magnoliopsida; Poales; Poaceae.